ACCUCCCUGAGUCAGUCAUUCUGUUUCUGCUUGCUGUCAGAGUUGCCGUAGGCAGAGCCCUUGUCAAUUUCCGUUACACCAAUCAUCCAUCGAACUCCCAUGGAGGCUGCAGAGACAAGGAGAGCAGAUUUAGGAGCAGCCCGAACAGACUACAGGCCCAUUUGCCCACAGAGCAUGUGAGAAGGUCCGUGGCCACAAAUCACAAGCACCAGCUGGGAGCUGGCGGGUCUGAGGGGACAUCGUCCUCCCAGCUUUACAGUCAUCCUUGAGUGUGGACAUCUGUGUGACAUUAAGAAAAAGCAAGGCUGCUCUGGUGGGGGUUUUCCUCCUUGGACCCUGAAGGUGAACGAUUUGGCAAGCCAUGCACAGCUGUUCACAGGGACUCAGAGAAAUCCCUGGCUUCCUCUGCUGGCUCCCAGGUAAAGAGGAUUCUCUUGUAAAUGAGGGGCAGGAACUUAACAGGGCAUGUUCGGCGAAGUUUUAUAAAGAACAGACCAGGAGCCUGGAAGAUGCAAGAGCUCGAGUACCGAGUGCCCAACGAGUUUCAGCACUGCUUUUGGUGCAAGUGUUACAGCAGUGAGAAAAUCCCCGCCGUUCCCUCUGACGGCAGGAUUUGCCUACACCAGAGAAUGGGCAGGACCCUCGUGGGAGCCCAGUUUCAUAUAGGAAGCUGGAAAGCAGGGCCCAAUGCUCAGAAGUUGCAAUUUCAACUACUCCCUCUGGAGAGGGCAGAUUUGGUGAGGUCCUUGGGUGCAGGGCCCAAGACGUAAUCAUUUGAUGUGUUCAGCACUGGGCAUGGAGCUUGGAAAACAGUCCGUUUAUAAUAAAUGUUUAAGAAUGGAUAGACAAGUGAAUGAAAUCCCCUAAAUCAUGAUGCACAGGGUUACCUAGCAUUAGCAUCGUGGUUGAUAAACUAACUGGGACAUGGAUGGAAGAGCCUGGGAUGGGCGAAUGCAGCCCAGCCAGCAGAAGGCACGCAUCUCCCAUGAGUCAUUUACAAACGGGAGGACUCCUGCGUGGAGUGUAACAGUAGCAGUGCGAGUGGAAUUCUUGUAGAGCAGAAAAAAGUGAGUAAAACGUGAACCCUGUGGCCUUCGAAGAGGAGUAAGACACAAACACAAAGUCCUUCAAGGCAGAAUGCAGUCAGGCGCAGGCUCAGGGUGAUGGGGCGGGACAGUCAGCUCCUCAGAUGCUCCUGGAGACAUCCUGUGUCCACACUGCACCCUGGGCAGUGCUCAAGCUUCUUUUUUUGGUACUCGCUACACACCUGGGUGGCCCUGUCUGCAGCCUUCAUCCUGAAGGGGCCUGUCCAAGAGGACACGGGUCUGUGUGUGCCUUGCUGUUGCCUGCUAUUGAAGAGAAGGGCUGAGCUUGCCCCCGCCCUACCAGGGACCCUUGGCCAGCCUCAGCAGCAUGGCGGGGGAUGGGGGUGCCCCCAGGCCUGCCUUAAGGAGAUGAGGUGCUUUCUUCUCCAUCCUCUUAUUUUUUUCCCUUAGAAGGUGUGGGUGUUAAUAUUUUAAUUUUUAAUAUUAAAAUGCAUCUUAAUUUUUCAAAAGACUAGUAGGGUCUGUGUGAGGCACAGGAGCCAGCUUGUUUACUGCAACCACAUGCUCUAGAAUUGGUUAGGUCAGUCGGAAUGAAUGAGAUAGGUUUAUGUGCUGUGACCUGUUUUGGUGGUUAUGAUUCAUUAGGUGAAAAGGCGAGUUGAAGAAACUCCACUGAUAGGAAUUUACAUUUGCUUGAGGCUGGAAAAAGCAUGUGCACCAAAUUGUCAUUAACGAUUAUCUGGGAAUUAGGCUCAAUGGGAAUUUUGUUGUGACACACUUUCAAUUUUCUGCGCUUGCAUAUUGCUUGGGCCUUUUAUAGUGAGCAUACUGCAUCUUUGUGUUUCACAGAAAAUAACUGAGACCUGUCCAUCUGAAAGCAGCACACGAUCUCUGUGUGCUUGGACAAUGUGCCAUCUCUCCCGGGCUCUCCAAAGCCUCAGAGAGGAUGCCAGGCCUGGGGAGAUGGGGCCUUUCACAGGGAAACCCCGAAGUCUUCCUUGGCUCCAGGACGCACGGGCCUGCUGUUCACAGGCAGGAAGCAGGCACGACAGGCUGCCCCACCACAGAGGCAAGGAGCAGGGUGCACAGAGGCUUGGUGCCAAGAAGCAGCAGUAGCCCGAGAAUCCGGGUCACCUGGGGCCAGCGCAGAUGCGUGAAAAGUUCUGUGAGCAAGCGUCUCCACUGAGUGUCGUUCACCUGCAGCAAAGGAGAAGCCACAGGCGCCCCCAGAGGAAGGCAGGGAGCUGCCCCUACAUCCCCACCGGCCUCCAGCACAGGGCUUUCUUCAGAAACAGGAAAUGAUGCCAGUGAGCAGAGCUGUCUGCAGGGGACGGGGAGGGAGCACUCGCAGCCGUCGGGGAGUGGAAGUGGCAGCUACAUCACCACCCAAGAGGGAACGUGUGGAAUCCAGCCCCAGGUGGGAGGCUGGACCAUCCAGGCUGCAGAGUGGGUCCUGGGCCUGGUAUUCAAGGGCCUCGUACUCAUCCUGAAGUCUAAUUUUUCCCUGUGAUUUGCAAGCUGAGCCUGCUCCUCAUCCAUGGCACAACUGCCUACACAGAUGGCCUCUGUCCCAGCCCUGAUGCCACCUCUCCCAGGGUGGUGCUGUUAGCACCCCCCAGCCCCUUGCCCUCCACUCACCCACGAAGAAGACAAGGAUGAAGCUGGCCAGCGUCAAGGAAGACCCGCUCCUGAUCAUGCUGACCAGGAACUGGAAGAAAGGGUAGAGCACCAGCGAGGCCCAAAACAGCCAGUUCACGAGGGUCCAGGGCCGCCGGGGGGGCACCAUGGGCGUCUCUGGGAAGGUGCCUGUCCUGUAGUACUCCUCCUGAAAGGCAUCCUGGGGGACAGGAAAGAGGACCCUCAGACGCCACACAGGGCUCAGUGGCAGGUCCCUCCCGAGGCCCUGCUUCCAAGACACAUCGCAGAGAUACACGGGUGCCACGGGGGCUCGGCAGAACUGGGGUCUGUGGCUCCUUCCAGAAAGCACUUUGUAGGCAGCUGCUGUCUUCUCAAUGCUGCAUCUGGCCGCCCCUCCCACAGGGGCACUGGGAGUGGCAGGGCUGCUGCAGCUGUCACUGAGUGCAGGGCGUGCAGCAUGAGGCCUGGCGCCAGGCCAGCCUGGGCUGGAGCUGGGAUCCACCCUCUGUGGGCAGGUGCCUGCAUCCCUGAGCCCAGGCCCCAGUGUGUCUGAUGGGGCAGCAGUGCCUUCCACGACAGGUCGGCGGGAGAAUGGAGUGGCUGCUGCCCCGAAGCUGCCCACAGGGGACACUGUGGAGACCCAACCCGCAGUCAGGAGGAGCUCGCCACACAGCCCGGCCCGGCACAUGCCCUGCCUUCCUGGCCUCCACAGCCAGUUCACCUCGGCUCCUGCGGGGCCGCCCACCCACACCUACCACCCUGUUGGCCACUGGAGGGCUCUGAGGGCCGUGAUUCAAGGCAUCAUGAAUGACAAAAGCUUGUGGGCUGCUGGGUAUGGCUCUCGGAGGUGACAGCAAACUCAGGACUGGGUAUCCAGGGUGACUCUUUUAAGUGACUGUCAGACCGUGGAAAAGGUAAACAGGCUCACGUCCUUCCACUAAGCAGAUUCUUAGUGGGAACCACGCACUCGUCCACGUCCACCCCCAGGGUGUGUGUGUCACGAGCAGCUUGCAGAGCAGCUACUCCAGAGCCCUCAUGGCGCUCCUUGCAGUCCCUGGGUGAGAACAGGGGACUCUCGGCCCCACGUAAAUGCACUGCAAAAGAACGCGGUGGCCCUUCCCUGGGGGUCUCAUGUCACGGAGCUCCCGCUCAGAGACUGGGGCUCAGCCACAAGGAGCUGCCGGAUAUAAGGUAGGGAACCAGGAACCCGACAGUCAGCAGGAGUGCUCAAGCGGCUGGGAGCUGGGCUGAGCCAGGAACUGGGGGGAACAAGGGGCUAUGGCACCAGGAUUCCCACUGGCCCAUCUAAGGGCAGGUCCUGGCCAUGAGGGGGGACCAGGGCAGGAGCCACCUCCAGGGAGCAGAGCUGAGCCAGGCAGCCACAGGGAGUUGCCCGGGUUGUAUUGUGGGCGGCUGCCUCAGCCAUUGUAAAAGCUGCACAUGGCUGAUAGCAUGCAUGCCACACAAAAACAGGUGUGGGUCAUGGUGAGGCCCAGUUUGUGUCCCAUGAACUAGCCUAGUAACGUCCCAGUUCUCUAAGGAGUCGAAUUUUCUGAAAAAUGAGCUUCCAUAUAAUUGAAACUUAUACUACCUUAAAUGCUGAAUAUUUUCCUUUAACAAUUUGAGAUAGAAAAGUCUAAAGUAUCUCAUACUUCUCUUCUUUUCCAUUCAGGGUGUACUGAAUCAUAGGCUUUCUUGGCCUCUCAGAGUCACUUUUCAUACUAGUCCACACACUAAUGAGGCCAUUUUGGAAGGAGAACCCCCAACCCCUUCCCUGGGCAGUUCAGGUGCCUCUGCUCUGCCCUCGGCCCCCUGCAGCCCAUUAACAAGCCUGGUCUGAAGUGUCACUUGUCGCGUGACUCUGCUCUUGGACAUCGGCCAAGGGAAGCCGUGGGGGCUCUCAGGGGAAGUCACAUCAUCAAGCAGUUGAAGAAAAAUCGACGUGUGUGCCAAGCACUCCCACCCUCAAGCAGUGAGAGUGAUCAGAUGGUGGAGGAGACAAGGAGGUAGCCUAAAUAAUGUGGAAGUGAAGAGAGUAAUGCAAGUGAUCGAAAGAAGGGGCGUUCCACAUCCACACUGGAGAAACACAGGCCAAAAUGCAAUUAUGACCCAUGAAGGAACAACCCAGGGUCCAAUUCAAUGGCAUAGACAGAUGCUGUCAGAAGAGGGGACACUUGCCUCAUUCCAUCUUCCCUCCCAGCUCACAAAAAGGCCCCCAAAACCUGAUAUUUGCCUCUUCCAAAGAGGACAACACUGCCUCACUUUCCACAUGAGACAAUCCAAUAUACACAGAAUUGAUGCAUCAGAGACAAGAUCCUAGUAAUUUCUUCUUAGUCAAGUAACCGACUUACUGGUAAUGGCAGAUUAUCUCCCAUCAAAUGAUUCCUGUAGCCUCUUGGUUAGCCUUGAGGCAGACUUUUUCUGCAAAGCUUUUGACAAGUCAGUGAUGUGGAUGGUGGGGAAUUAAAGUUCUCCCAGAUGCAAGUAGCCAGGGCAUCUUGCAGCACCCAGGCUCCAUGGCUCAGACAGGGGUCCAGAGUCACUGUACACCAGCGAUAGCUUGGAGACUUGGGUGGCUGUGGGGACUGGUGGCUGGCAAGGGCUUGCUACUCAAUCAUCUACAAACAGCCCAUACUGAACAUGGGGAAGAGUCACUCUGCCACCUUUGCCAUUCCUACUUGUUCUCAGGUUGUUGGCUCUUGUGAUUUCAAGGGAUGUUCCUUUAUAUUCAAUUUUGUCCAUGUCGAAGUCUGCAUCUGGCUUGAUUUCCCUUCUAUGGCCUAAGAAUAUCUUAGUAAGAAGAUUUUAGAGCUUAUCUAUCACACUAGAGUCUUAUCUAUCACACUAUAGUCUGUUAAGAGAAUAAACGAUGGGAUUCCAUCUUAGAUUAUAGUGAGCGACUUCCUUUUCAAGGCAGUAUUGUACAGAGGUAAGUUUUUCACAUAAUUAGAACUUACCCCAUAAGCUCCUCCGGAAAUAUCCUUUCACCUUUCCUGUUCCUACGCACACUGUACUUUUGUGAAUCCUCUACUUCUUUGCUCUUUGAUCUACUCUGCUUUGGAAAUGAGAUUUCUCGAGUCUGCAUAAUAUUUCUUUAUUUGGAUAGUGGGAAUGUAGUGAGUUUUGCCCUUUUCAGCAACUUGACAUUAUCGCCCUUGAUGUUUCAGUGCUUUGUACUGACUUAUGUUCAGAAAAAUGCCUCCAUCAUUUUUAAUGGGCAGUGAUGACAAAAAGAUGUGUGUUGAACAGCAUCAAUGCUAACCUUCCUCUGGGGUCAAGUGUGUCAUCUGGCUUCAGUGAGUGAACGCGCCAGAAUCAUUUUGGAGCUGAUUCUCACACGUGCUUUGGAGAGUUGCAGCUACCUGAGAGGUGAAAUAAUCUUCCACAUGUCUUGGGAUUUUCCCAAAUAACUGAGCCCAGCUGGUCACUGAGUGGAGCUCCUGCCAGCCGUCAGUGAACAUGGGGAAUAAAACCUCACUUUACUCCUAGAAGGUCUAAAGGUCUCCUUCAGGCGGGUGGGUGAUUCUCCUGCCUUCAUAUGCCACAGAACUGAGUCACAGGGCAGACUCGCCUGCACCAUCAGACAAGAAGUCAGUGAUGAUGUCAAUGCUGUCCUAUUUUGAUGGGAAAGCCAGAGUCAUUUUUAGAUCAGAAGCUACUUAACUUUGGCCGCCAGUCCACCAAAACAUCUCCCAGGAAAGCUGGGACAUUUAGUGUGGCCUGGUGGGAAUGUAGGGCCCCUGGAUUUUCAUGGGGCUGUUUGUAAUACCGCUUCUGUAAGGUCUUGAAUCAGAAGGUUAUACGCCCCUGGAUUAGUUCUCCAUUAGUGGGCAUUUCAGAUUCUCUUGAUUAGCAUUCAGAGAAGGUGACCCACAGCACAACAAACCAGUCCGGUCCCUGACCCCUGUCACUCUGGGUUUUAAUGCGUGAAUUGCCAUUGUGUUUACUAUCUGCUGCACCUUCCAAUUCUGUUUCCCACCGAAACAGAGGUGCUCGGCCCAUUCUAUAAGCAGGGAAGGAGAACCAGUUUGACUAAUAUGUUCUAGAAGUGUCUUCAAUAAAAUCACUAACAGCCUGGAACAUAACACAUAAGUAAGACACUGCAAAAGACUUUUGCAUUUGUGUCUAGACCGCCUUAUAUAAAUACACAUCUGUGUGUAUUCCAUAUAGCAGACCCAUCGCUCAAGGAAAGUGUCAAUCACAUAUUCUCGUCACACCAACACCAAAAUAAUUAUAAAAUAUGGCCUUCCAUUUGUUCAACCUGAGCUCUCUGAAAUGGAAGAUUACAGAGGAUCCGGAAGGAGCUGGGAUGGAAGGAGAUUUCAGCAGAUCAUUCUCAAUAGUAGGAUAUGUCAAGUUCAAUGCAAAACAGACUGCAAAGGAGUCAGUGUGACCCAGGGAUCCCUGGAAGAAAGUCUCUAGGUCAUUUGUGAUGUGUUUACUUUGAAACGGGCACUGUCUUUUCUGGAAAGGAAACCGUUCGACUUACCUAACAUACAAAUCUGCAUGGUAUUUCUUUCCGUUUAGGACUCCCAGCAGUGUUGGAUUUUCAUUAUUUCUGAAAUUGAGUGUACAGUCAUAUACAGCUGAAACUAUAAAAAAUAAAACAAAUACAAAGCAGUA
This is a non-coding RNA of Macaca mulatta (Rhesus monkey), 7307 nucleotides long. The record is from RefSeq and is a predicted model, not a curated record. Lineage: Eukaryota; Metazoa; Chordata; Mammalia; Primates; Cercopithecidae.